UCUCCGUUGGUGAACCAGCGGAGGGAUCAUUACCGAGUUCCAGCAACUCCCAACCCUUGCGAACCGUACCCCAGUCUGUUCUCGUUGCUUCCGGCAGGCGGGGGGGGCCACCUGGCCCCUCCCCCUGCCGGGGGCGGCGGGCCCUCUGAACCAUUAUAUCUCAACCACUGAAACCCGUCUGAGCAAAACAAAAAAUAAUCAAAACUUUCAACAACGGAUCUCUUGGCUCUG
RNAcentral lists this unclassified non-coding RNA (231 nucleotides) under plant metagenome. Its description in RNAcentral is "partial contains small subunit ribosomal RNA, internal transcribed spacer 1, and 5.8S ribosomal RNA". The record is from RNAcentral.